CCAGAAUCUUACAGGAAGGUAAUACUGGAACAGAGUUUUAAUUUGCUUGAAUUUCUCUGUAGGCAAGCCAGUUUACACCUGGGACCACCAUGUUCAAGGGACAUCAAGAGGAAACGAAAGCCAGCUGCAGCCUCCAUGUCCAGCCCAGCAUCAGCAACUUUAUCUGUCCACAUGGAUGCAGCAGAGUCAGAGCUACCAGCAACACCGUCCCUGAGAUCGCAGAACUCUGAGUGGACUGGGAAAACACCAGCAGCCGAGAAAGCCACUAUUGCUGCCUCCAGUAACUUUUUUAAAAUGCCACCAGAGAAGAGCCCUGGAUACAGCUAAAAGGAAGCAUUGCAACUGUAAAAGCUUGCUGGAUUUUGGAAUUGUUUGACUUUGGUGUGUGUCUUCACCAAAUAUCUUGUUUGGCAGUAGUGAUCUCUUCAGUAUUGGUGCGUGACGCGUGCCAUCAUCCAGACUGAUCUGCGUGCCCCACAUACCUAAAUCAUGUUUGUGAAUCUAUGUUUAAAAAAAGGUAAUCAGUGUUGGGACCGCAGUGGCUUUUAAAAAUGUUCUUGCUAUUCCUGUAUUUAUUAUGCAUUCAUCUCUUUCCCUGAUGCCAGCUCAUAUGUGCUGGGUCAUGUACAGAUUCUUUUGGGUUUUCAGAUCUUUAUUCACCCCCAGACAUGUUGCUUGUUUGUACGUUUGGCAUUUUUUGGGUGAAAGUCCCAUUGCCACUCUGGGAGGCAAGUCUCCCCCUGCUUUCUUCCAGGCCGGGAGGAUUUCUUGGCUGGGGAAUGAGGAGGGACUGCAAACAAGUUGAAAUGUGGAACCUGAAUUCUGUAUUAGUAGGAUGUUUUCAGGCCAUGUACUAAUGGACUGUAAUCAUGUUGCUUUUGGCAAAGCAAAUACAGUGCUUGUCCAUUCAGAAAUUGCCAUUGGCUCACUGGCAGCAUGUACCUUCUCCCUUGCUCUGAAUGUCUAUAGUCUUGCUUGUGUAUUGCAUGUUCUUUCUUAAAUCUCCUACCAGAUAAGGAUUUGGGAGAACUACUUGGACAUUAAAUGUGCAAGCUGGAGUCCUGCAAAGGAACUUGGGCCCUUGUAUAUCCUUGGAGUAUGGUAGAGGAUAUACAAAACUUCAAUUUCUCCAUGUAUAAAUUAAAAAAUGACUGCUAGCAUUUCUAAAUGACACUUGCCGUUGAAGUUAACAUGCCAUUGAACAAAAAAAGCCAUUUAAAGUAUCACCUGAGUUCAGAGCAUUCUGGGUAUUGAUCAGACCACUUCUGCCGCAUGUUUUCCCUCACUUCAAAAAAUGUUGUCUGCCGUAUCUACCGGAGGUGUCUCCACCUACUGAUGAUUGUACUUUACUCUGCAGCGUACACAAAAGAGAUUCUCUUCAUAGCAUUUUGACUUGGUCACCCAUUACCUUCUGUGUUGCAGAAUAUAUGGAUAGUGAUUUCUUCCCUCUAUUUUUUUGAAUUCUUGAUCACACUCCACUUACUUUUCUUGAAUUUGUCUGCCUGGAGAUUAUUCUGGGCAACAUUUUUAGAAUAUACACCUGGAUAGCAUCUGUCAAAGAGCAGGUGGUCUCGUGGCUUCUAAAGUCCAUUAAAAAUAGGAAAUUUGUGUAUGCAUA
Molecule: long non-coding RNA, 1618 nt
Organism: Calidris pugnax (ruff)
Lineage: Eukaryota; Metazoa; Chordata; Aves; Charadriiformes; Scolopacidae
Exons: 2
Source: RefSeq, a predicted model, not a curated record